GAUGAACGCUGGCGGCGUGCCUAAUACAUGCAAGUCGAGCGAACGGACGAGAAGCUUGCUUCUCUGAUGUUAGCGGCGGACGGGUGAGUAACACGUGGAUAACCUACCUAUAAGACUGGGAUAACUUCGGGAAACCGGAGCUAAUACCGGAUAAUAUUUUGAACCGCAUGGUUCAAAAGUGAAAGACGGUCUUGCUGUCACUUAUAGAUGGAUCCGCGCUGCAUUAGCUAGUUGGUAAGGUAACGGCUUACCAAGGCAACGAUGCAUAGCCGACCUGAGAGGGUGAUCGGCCACACUGGAACUGAGACACGGUCCAGACUCCUACGGGAGGCAGCAGUAGGGAAUCUUCCGCAAUGGGCGAAAGCCUGACGGAGCAACGCCGCGUGAGUGAUGAAGGUCUUCGGAUCGUAAAACUCUGUUAUUAGGGAAGAACAUAUGUGUAAGUAACUGUGCACAUCUUGACGGUACCUAAUCAGAAAGCCACGGCUAACUACGUGCCAGCAGCCGCGGUAAUACGUAGGUGGCAAGCGUUAUCCGGAAUUAUUGGGCGUAAAGCGCGCGUAGGCGGUUUUUUAAGUCUGAUGUGAAAGCCCACGGCUCAACCGUGGAGGGUCAUUGGAAACUGGAAAACUUGAGUGCAGAAGAGGAAAGUGGAAUUCCAUGUGUAGCGGUGAAAUGCGCAGAGAUAUGGAGGAACACCAGUGGCGAAGGCGACUUUCUGGUCUGUAACUGACGCUGAUGUGCGAAAGCGUGGGGAUCAAACAGGAUUAGAUACCCUGGUAGUCCACGCCGUAAACGAUGAGUGCUAAGUGUUAGGGGGUUUCCGCCCCUUAGUGCUGCAGCUAACGCAUUAAGCACUCCGCCUGGGGAGUACGACCGCAAGGUUGAAACUCAAAGGAAUUGACGGGGACCCGCACAAGCGGUGGAGCAUGUGGUUUCAUUCGAAGCAACGCGAAGAACCUUACCAAAUCUUGACAUCCUUUGACAACUCUAGAGAUAGAGCCUUCCCCUUCGGGGGGGCAAAGUGACAGGUGGUGCAUGGUUGUCGUCAGCUCGUGUCGUGAGAUGUUGGGUUAAGUCCCGCAACGAGCGCAACCCUUAAGCUUAGUUGCCAUCAUUAAGUUGGGCACUCUAAGUUGACUGCCGGUGACAAACCGGAGGAAGGUGGGGAUGACGUCAAAUCAUCAUGCCCCUUAUGAUUUGGGCUACACACGUGCUACAAUGGACAAUACAAAGGGCAGCGAAACCGCGAGGUCAAGCAAAUCCCAUAAAGUUGUUCUCAGUUCGGAUUGUAGUCUGCAACUCGACUACAUGAAGCUGGAAUCGCUAGUAAUCGUAGAUCAGCAUGCUACGGUGAAUACGUUCCCGGGUCU
Molecule: ribosomal RNA, 1373 nt
Filed under: uncultured bacterium
Lineage: Bacteria
Description: bacterial SSU rRNA
Rfam family: Bacterial small subunit ribosomal RNA
Source: RNAcentral